This 301-nucleotide ribosomal RNA is filed under the name uncultured bacterium. Its description in RNAcentral is "partial 16S ribosomal RNA". It matches the Rfam family "Bacterial small subunit ribosomal RNA", at positions 509 to 809 of the family's 1533-position model. The record is from RNAcentral.
CAGUAGCCGCGGGAAUACGGAGGGGGCUAGCGUUGUUCGGAAUUACUGGGCGUAAAGCGCACGUAGGCGGCUUGGUAAGUUAGAGGUGAAAGCCCGGAGCUCAACUCCGGAAUUGCCUUUAAGACUGCCGAGCUAGUAGGUGAGAGAGGUAAGUGGAAUUCCGAGUGUAGAGGUGAAAUUCGUAGAUAUUCGGAAGAACACCAGUGGCGAAGGCGGCUUACUGGCUCAUUCUAGACGCUGAGGUGCGAAAGCGUGGGGAGCAAACAGGAUUAGAUACCCGUGUAGUCCCUGUCUCUUAUAU